RNAcentral lists this long non-coding RNA (372 nucleotides) under Chinchilla lanigera (long-tailed chinchilla). Its description in RNAcentral is "lncRNA (ENSCLAG00000024668.1)". The record is from RNAcentral. Lineage: Eukaryota; Metazoa; Chordata; Mammalia; Rodentia; Chinchillidae.
CCCGUAUUCACAUCCACUGCCUGCAUGCUUUCUCUCUCCCCCAUAUUUCUGACAUUUGGAUUUUCCCCCUACUAAUUGACAUGCCUGCCGCCUCCUUCUCCUGGUGUCCAUUUCUGGAACUGCUAUUUGUAUAUUGCAUGAUAUUUUAUCAGGGGGAAAAAUAAAACUGAGAUCCAAUUUCACGAAAAUGCUGUUUGCCAUAAUGCUCAGGAGGACAGGGGGAAGAGAGAGAGUCAAGUCUUCCUACUGUCUACCCCAUGUGCAGGUGGCAGUUUUGGCUUCCAGAAUAAUCAGCUGAUGCAGGAACAGCUGAUGCCUUCCUGGGUGAAAACAGAAUGUGAGCAAAACAGAAAGUUAAAGACAGAGUCUUGA